This 210-nucleotide ribosomal RNA is filed under the name uncultured bacterium. RNAcentral's name for it is "partial 16S ribosomal RNA". It matches the Rfam family "Bacterial small subunit ribosomal RNA", at positions 524 to 728 of the family's 1533-position model. The record is from RNAcentral.
UACGAGGGGGGGCGAGCGUUGUUCGGAAUUAUUGGGCGUAAAGGGUGCGUAGGCGGCUUUGCAAGUCCCAUGUGAAAUCCCACGGCUCAACCGUGGAAGUGCAUGGGAAACUGCAGAGCUUGAGUACUUAAGAGGAUCGCGGAAUUCCCGGUGUAGAGGUUCGAAAUUCGUAGAUAUCGGGAAGGAACACCAGUGGCGAAGGGCGGCGAU